GUCGAGGGGUAUGCUUCUUCGGGAGCAGAGACCGGCGCACGGGUGCGUAACGCGUAUGCAAUCUACCUUUCACAGAGGGAUAGCCCAGAGAAAUUUGGAUUAAUACCUCAUAGUAUAGCAGUUUCGCAUGAAACCACUAUUAAAGUCACAACGGUGAAAGAUGAGCAUGCGUCCCAUUAGCUAGUUGGUAAGGUAACGGCUUACCAAGGCAACGAUGGGUAGGGGUCCUGAGAGGGAGAUCCCCCACACUGGUACUGAGACACGGACCAGACUCCUACGGGAGGCAGCAGUGAGGAAUAUUGGACAAUGGGCGCAAGCCUGAUCCAGCCAUGCCGCGUGCAGGAUGACGGUCCUAUGGAUUGUAAACUGCUUUUAUACGAGAAGAAACCCUCCGACGUGUCGGAGCUUGACGGUAUCGUAAGAAUAAGGAUCGGCUAACUCCGUGCCAGCAGCCGCGGUAAUACGGAGGAUCCAAGCGUUAUCCGGAAUCAUUGGGUUUAAAGGGUCCGUAGGCGGUCAGGUAAGUCAGUGGUGAAAGCCCAUCGCUCAACGGUGGAACGGCCAUUGAUACUGUCUGACUUGAAUUAUUAGGAAGUAACUAGAAUAUGUAGUGUAGCGGUGAAAUGCUUAGAGAUUACAUGGAAUACCAAUUGCGAAGGCAGGUUACUACUAAUGGAUUGACGCUGAUGGACGAAAGCGUGGGUAGCGAACA
This 712-nucleotide ribosomal RNA is filed under the name Flavobacterium sp. B1387. RNAcentral's name for it is "bacterial SSU rRNA". It matches the Rfam family "Bacterial small subunit ribosomal RNA", at positions 61 to 774 of the family's 1533-position model. Lineage: Bacteria; Pseudomonadati; Bacteroidota; Flavobacteriia; Flavobacteriales; Flavobacteriaceae. The record is from RNAcentral.